CCGGAAGUUGCGGAAGUUGCACUUCCGCUCUCUGGCCUCGUGGGAAGGUGUGCUUUCCUCAGCGUGGAAGGGGUGGCGACCUUUCGGGUUUGGGCUUCAGCAUGUGUUGCGGGAGGAGAAAGGCAGGUGCUUAUGCUACUGAACUAAAUCCCCAGCCCCAAGAGGUUUCUUCUGGUUCCAGAUGAAUUUUAGGAGUGAUUUCUCUAGAUAUAUGAGAAUUCCAGUGAAUCCAUCUGGGCCUGGGCUCUUCUUUUCUUGAAGUGUUGCCCCUGUGCCAUGCCACUCUGCCUUGGAGGCAGCUGAUUGUGGACUGAAACCUCCACAAACUGUGAGC
Cavia porcellus (domestic guinea pig) is the source of this 334-nucleotide long non-coding RNA. RefSeq lists it as uncharacterized. NCBI's taxonomy places the organism in Eukaryota, Metazoa, Chordata, Mammalia, Rodentia, Caviidae. The record is from RefSeq and is a predicted model, not a curated record. The transcript is spliced from 5 exons.